UCAAUAUCCUCUACAAUGAAGUUUCGUAUCGUUGUAUUUUUGUUAUUUAUAAUGAUGAUCUAUUCAAUAUCAACAUCUGACCAAGAACUUCCUCGCAGCCUAGACGAGUAUAUUCCAAAAAAAGACGGUCAAAUAAGUUUUAAUAGACCCUAUAACUGCUACAUGGUUCGAUGCCGUGACGCAGAAGAAUGCAGUGAAGAUGAUAUUCUUCAACGACGUGAUGCGAUCUGGUGUUUCUGUUGCAAAAUCCCUAUUUCAAAGACAGAAAAUAAGCUGUGAUUCAAAAUAUUACAAAUUACAUCAAUACAAACUUUCGGAUUAUAUAAAAGAUUAAUUUACACUUUUUACAAAAAAGAAAACAACAAAAAAGUUUGUAAAACCUUAUUUUGGUCAAAAAUACUUAAAAGGAGUAUUACUCAACAUUUUUAUUCUAAUUUUGGAUUUUGUCAUCAAAAUAUAAUUGGGAACAUUUUGGUGUACAAUCGUCCAAGAAACGUAACUAUUUCCAUCAACGUUAUAUGUAAUUUGAUGUUGAAAUAAAGAAAAUAAAAAAUAAUAAGGAAACUACGAGGAAUAAAUAAUGGAAAUAAAAUAAUGGAACAAAUGGAAUUAAAUAAUUAACAAUUAGACCGAAGGUUUUCCCAAAUAAAAGAUUUAUAUACUGAGGGAAAUUAUUCUUGACCAAUCUUUUAUAUCAAAAAAUUCAUUCUUCCCGCAAUAAUUUAUAAUACUUAAAUGAAGAGUUAUACAAGAUUAUUGUUACAUGAAUAAGUUUUUUUUAAAAAGAAAGAUACCAGCGACAGGAGCAUGCACAAUAGAGUCAAACUUAGCACAUCGAAAUCUGAUGAUAUAUGUAAUACAAGGUGGUCCAUUUCACGUGAGACAAGCGAUUAUCUCAAAAACGAUGACCAAAUGAAAGUUGUUCUGUGCGAA
RNAcentral lists this long non-coding RNA (933 nucleotides) under Onthophagus taurus. RNAcentral describes it as "uncharacterized LOC111416789, transcript variant X2". The record is from RNAcentral. Lineage: Eukaryota; Metazoa; Arthropoda; Insecta; Coleoptera; Scarabaeidae.